This 245-nucleotide unclassified non-coding RNA is filed under the name plant metagenome. RNAcentral's name for it is "partial contains small subunit ribosomal RNA, internal transcribed spacer 1, and 5.8S ribosomal RNA". The record is from RNAcentral.
UUUCCGUUGGUGAACCAGCGGAGGGAUCAUUACCGAGUUUACAACUCCCAAACCCAAUGUGAACCUUACCAAACUGUUGCCUCGGCGGGGUCACGCCCCGGGUGCGUCGCAGCCCCGGAACCAGGCGCCCGCCGGAGGGACCAACCAAACUCUUUCUGUAGUCCCCUCGCGGACGUUAUUUCUUACAGCUCUGAGCAAAAAUUCAAAAUGAAUCAAAACUUUCAACAACGGAUCUCUUGGUUCUG